AUUGAACGCUGGCGGCAGGCCUAACACAUGCAAGUCGAGCGAGCGGCGGACGGGUGAGUAAUGUAUGGGGACUGACCGAUAGCUGGGGAUAACUACUGGAAACGGUAGCUAAUACAGCAUACUAUCGGAUAACCCAUAUGGGUUUCGCUAGUAGGUUAGGUAAUGGCUCACCUAGGCGAGGAUCCCUAGCUUGUCUGAGAGGAUGAUCAGGCACACUGCGACGGAGAUACGGCCCAGUCGCCAAUGGAGGCAGCAGAGGGGAAUAUUGCACAAGUGGCGCAAGGCUGAUGCAUCCAUGCCGCGUGUAUGAAAGAGUGCCUAGGGUUUGAAAGUACGUUCAGUCGGGUGGAGUUACCAAAAGAAGAAGCACCGGCUAACUCCGUGCCAGCAGCCGCGGUAAUUC
This 403-nucleotide ribosomal RNA is filed under the name uncultured bacterium. RNAcentral describes it as "partial 16S ribosomal RNA". It matches the Rfam family "Bacterial small subunit ribosomal RNA", at positions 30 to 526 of the family's 1533-position model. The record is from RNAcentral.